CGCCACGUGGGCGAAGUCGGUGCGCCCGAUCUUGGUGUGGUCGGCGAGGACGACCACCCGGCCGGCCGCCGCGAUCAGCGCGCGCUUGACGGC
This 93-nucleotide transfer RNA is filed under the name Cellulomonas aerilata. RNAcentral's name for it is "tRNA-Thr". Lineage: Bacteria; Bacillati; Actinomycetota; Actinomycetes; Micrococcales; Cellulomonadaceae. The record is from RNAcentral.